GUGGGGUAACACCUACUGGAGGUCCGAACCCACUCCCGUUGAAAAGGUAGGGGGAUGAGCUGUGGCUAGGGGUGAAAGGCUAAUCAAAUCCGGAAAUAGCUGGUUCUCUCCGAAAACUAUUGAGGUAGUGCCUCCUGUAUUACUGCCGGGGGUAGAGCACUGUAAUGGUUGUGGGGGUCAUAGCGAUCUACCGCGCCAUAGCAAACUCCGAAUACCGGCAAGUACGAGCAGGGGAGACAGACAUCGGGUGCUAACGUCCGGUGUCGAGAGGGAAACAACCCAGACCGCCGAUUAAGGUCCCCAAGAUCUAGCUAAGUGGGAAACGAGGUGGGAAGGCUCAGACAGCCAGGAUGUUGGCUUAGAAGCAGCCAUCAUUUAAAGAAAGCGUAAUAGCUCACUGGUCGAGUCGUCCUGCGCGGAAGAUGUAACGGGG
Molecule: ribosomal RNA, 433 nt
Filed under: uncultured bacterium
Lineage: Bacteria
Description: bacterial LSU rRNA
Rfam family: Bacterial large subunit ribosomal RNA
Source: RNAcentral